GUAGGUGGCAAGCGUUGUCCGGAAUUAUUGGGCGUAAAGCGCGCGCAGGCGGUCCUUUAAGUCUGAUGUGAAAGCCCACGGCUCAACCGUGGAGGGUCAUUGGAAACUGGGGGACUUGAGUACAGAAGAGGAAAGCGGAAUUCCAAGUGUAGCGGUGAAAUGCGUAGAGAUUUGGAGGACCACCAGUGGCGAAGGCGGCUUUCUGGUCUGUAACUGACGCUGAGGCGCGAAAGCGUGGGGAGCAAACAGGGAUUAGAUACCCUGGUAGUCCACGCCGUAAACGAUGAGUGCUAAGUGUUAGGGGGUUUCCCGCCCCUUAGUGCUGCAGCUAACGCAUUAAGCACUCCGCCUGGGGAGUACGGCCGCAAGGCUG
Molecule: ribosomal RNA, 373 nt
Filed under: uncultured organism
Description: partial 16S ribosomal RNA
Rfam family: Bacterial small subunit ribosomal RNA
Source: RNAcentral